UUAAUACUUUUUCCGUUUCAAAUUACUCAUCGCAGAAAUGAAUGUAUCUAGAACUAAAAUACAUCUAGAUACAUCCAUAUCUGCGACAAGUAAUUCGGAACGGAGGGAGUACAAA
Non-coding RNA from Triticum aestivum (bread wheat), 115 nucleotides. Lineage: Eukaryota; Viridiplantae; Streptophyta; Magnoliopsida; Poales; Poaceae. The record is from Rfam.